This 257-nucleotide long non-coding RNA is filed under the name Elaeis guineensis (African oil palm). Its description in RNAcentral is "long non-coding RNA (EGUI_LNC016670)". The record is from RNAcentral. Lineage: Eukaryota; Viridiplantae; Streptophyta; Magnoliopsida; Arecales; Arecaceae.
GAAGAUGAAGAUGAAAGAUAGGCACCAUGCACUUAAUCAAAAGGGAGAAGAGAAAGUGAGAUAGUCGUCUAAGCGACAAGGAUCUAUCCCAAUACUUGCCUUCCAACUUUCAAGUUCGAUCUUGUAGCUUUAAUCAGAUGAGAGGAGUUAAUUGUUGUAUGAGUUCGAGUUGCUUUUUCUGACAAGCUUCACUUAUUGUUGCCCCGAGAGCUAUGUCCAACCAUUCUGUUAUUUUAUAGACUAAGCCAUCAUUUGUC